CGCCUAUAAUCCAUUUCCAGAUUUUGGAUUUCGUUUCUUAAUUGAUCAUGAUUUAUCGUUCAAGGUUAGUAAUUGUCAUUCUUCACUGCGUUAGCAUUCACUUAUGAUACUUUUGGAAAUCCUACUCGUUUAUUCCAUGAAGUUGAACUCAUAAUCUCAGCCCAUAAUACAACUUUUAGAUACACACUCAUCUUAUAUUAGCUCCCUCUGUUACUUUUCCUCAGCUUAAACGCUCACGGAGCAACUUUUCUUCUUUUGCACUUUUCAAUUCAACGCCGGAGCAUACUUAAUCUUACUAGUUCACCGCGUCAAACUUCUCAAAUGAACCGUUUUACCAUCACAAACUUGGCUCUCAAGGGUAUUCUAUACUUACAAUCUCAGGUCCAAACAUGAACAUUUGCGUAACUUACUCGUCAUAUGAUCUUUAAUCAUUUUAUGGUUCCCCACUUUCAAUUCUUUGGAAUAAAAUUUUCCUCUCUCAAAGAGUUGUUGACCUACAAGUCAAUCUACUAACUACAUUCUCAACCACUUCCCGGCUGCGCACUCUGAUUCGACUACUUGCUGGCAUUCUCUCUACGCGUCAUUACAGUCUUGGUCUACAAAUUCCCUGACAUUGUCACACAUCGUCUCAUCUUAUUCGGUGUUAUUGCUUUUAUUAUUAAUUCUCGUACCAUAGAUAUCACAAAACAACACUUGCAUCGUUUCGUGACGACAGGCGCACCACUGUAUACAUAAUACUUUACAACCAUCUAACAUGUCUGCAACACUUCACUUUUUAUCACUUACUAUUAUCUCAUACUCAUAGUCUCCUCAUCGUGUGGCAUCCGUCUCCUCUUACCAUUACAUUUGAUAGUAAUAACUGAGUUGUUCCAACAGCGACCUUUACUUGAUCAAUGAUAUUCUUAGCGAAUUGAUUUCUAUUUAACUUAUCACUUCACCGACCUCAGCCACAAUUAAUAUCCUUUUACUAUUACUACAUCUAUUGUUCUCGGCCAUUACUUUAUUACUCCACAAACUUCAUUAGGUUAUCUUAAGGGUAUAAGCUUGAAUAUCAUCACCGAUUAAUCCAAAAAUCUCCUUGUCGCAUAGCGCUUACGAUUUUCUCAUUCCAUCGAUGUUCAUCGAGGUUACCUCUUAUAUCUCUGGAUGGUUUUGGAUUUUUAUCCAAAUUGAGAUGGUAAGACCUUAUAAAGAAAGAUGAACUUAAUUGAUUACAGUAACGUUUCCAACGUUCGUGGUACCUUAACCAUGCUGCUUGACAGGUUAACAAGACUAGCGAGAGUUUGAACUUAAUUUCUAGGGACCCUUAAUUGCUAAUUUGACUUCUGUGAUUCUGAACCGGUCCUCGGUAAUGAUGCUAAAAGAUUGGAGAAUUUCUUGGUUAUAAACAUAAUGUUACUGCUCUUAAGGUCGACAUGAAUAACUGAUAGUCCUUAACGAAACACGGCUCAUUACUCUUAACAAGCAACUCAAACUUACAUAAGCCCGAACUAAGUUAUAAUAACAAAGUUGGAAAGCUGAAGACACUUCGUCAUAGUUACAUAAGGAUAACACUCUAUACAUGAAUCCAAUUCGCUGAUACUGAGGAAUUAGAAGGUACAAUGGUACAUAACUUAAUUGAAUUAUUGCAUUAAAUGUAAGUGAUAGGUCUCAAUGUACCGGAAGAAUUUAUCUCCCUCUUAUCAUAUGAUUAAAUAGGCAUGGGGAACGUAAUGUUCAUAACUUAAUAAGGCUUGCUGAUUAUGGAUCAUGCAUCGCAUCAAUUUGAUAAAUUUAGCAGAAUUAGAGUUCAAGUGAAAGGGUAGGUAACUGAAGAUCAUAAUUCUAUUGCAUUAUGUUCAUACUUCAUGAUUUCUCUUAACCGAUUAAUCUCUGGAACUGGGACAGACCUGAUUCUCAUUAGAACUUAGCUGAUAAACUCUCACAAAAGGUUUAACCGAGUAUGUUGAGUUAUUAGUUGAGAGGUUUGAAUACAAAAAAUUGUUCAGUGACUUCUUGAUGCUAGUACAAAACUGCAUUACUUGUUCUUGAAUCAAUGAUAAUGACACUUAUAAUAUGCCAGCUUAGGUAACUGAUAGUAUUAGAAUUAAUUCCAGCCAUUACUCAAACAAAAUUUUCUUGUUAUGUGUCUGACUAGGAUACUAGUUAUGAACUGAGAGGCUGAACUUAUCUUGCUGGGAACGAUUAGUGUUCUUAUUCUACGAAAAUGGUACGACAGGCUGAUAUUAAGAACUAAGGGAUUGCAUGAAGUCUAGUUUAUCUUUCUCCGAUAGUGUAAUUAGUUGACCUAUGUCACUAGGGGAAAACUACUGAGCUGAAAUGAAGGUUAGACGGAUUUGAAAGAGUUUGAUUCACUGACUUCUGAUAAGUCUUAUUUGAAUUAAGGUGCUCCUUGUAAUUAGGUCCACACAAUACACACGUGCCGGUUGGAUAUUACUGUUAUACCACACUCCAAUUAUACUAUGCGCCAUUCUCAUGACCCUAUCAUCUGUACUAAUGCACCCGUCAGACUUACUACAAUUUUCCAGUUUUCAUACUUCAAUACUCAAUCUCGGUUCCACUCCGGUCAAAGAUUACUUAUAUACCGUGUUUCCAUUCCCAUAAUUCUCAGUAUCCUUAAACCUGAUACUGUCAGUUGAGCACGUCCGGUUCGUGCAUUUCUGGACAUGCCUCUUACUAAUGGUAUUACGCCAAAUACUAUUCCCAAUUAUGUGUGCCACUUGUUGGCGUUACUAAAUAUACUCUUGUGCCGUCGACCGCCGCUGUUUACAAUAUCCGCUUCUAAUGGUCUCCAUUCAUACUUCCAUCGGAGUUCGCGCUUCUACUUCGUUCUUACUACUCGACCUCCUUGGUCCACUUCGGGUCUCGACCGUAAUACCCUGCCUACCAUACACGAUACUGAGUUGAUCGGGCUCAGCACGUGAUGAUNN
This 2930-nucleotide long non-coding RNA is filed under the name Trifolium pratense (red clover). Its description in RNAcentral is "long non-coding RNA (TPRA_LNC007577)". The record is from RNAcentral. Lineage: Eukaryota; Viridiplantae; Streptophyta; Magnoliopsida; Fabales; Fabaceae.